UUUUUCUUUUUUCAUUUUGUCAAAUUUAUCUUGAAGGAUUGGUUUCUUUUCUAAGAAAAAUUGUUGAGAAGAUGAUUCGUGAUUUUUGGGUCAAUGCUGUUUUUGUGUCUUCGAAAAUGUGAAAAGAUGUCAUUUUGGGUUUGGGUUUUUGAUGAUAGGCUCCGUUUGGUUGUUGGGAAAAGGCGAGAAAACAACUGAACAAGUGCUUUAAAUCUUUGUUCAAAGUUGAGAGAUUAUGAAUGUCUACUCGAAUCAGCCUCAUAUAGUUAUUGGUUUUCUUUUGUUUUUUAAACAAAUUUGCUGAGAUGAUUCAUGGAUUCUGUUUCGUUUCUCUCCUUUGUUUUUCCUCCCUUUUUCUCAUAAACCAAACGAAGGGUGGGUGCAUGAUUUGUGUGGUAUAUGCUGGGCAAUGUUUAGAGUACUUGGAUUUUGAUUCGUUUAAUAGAUAUGUUGUUGGGCAAAAUUGUGUGGCCCGAUUGCCCAAUAGGAAGAAGAGGGUAAUAUUUGAUUGGAGUUGGUCUGAGAUCAUGAUUUCUGUUAUGUUGAAAGAUAUUACAAAAAAAAAAAAAAUUCAAAAUUUGGGAGUCUCAGUUGCCAUAUUGUGACAAAUUUUUUCGAAUGAGUAAUUUUUAAAGUCUUAGAUGAUUGCAAAAAAAAAAAAAAAAGUUUAUUUGCUGCCCAGACCAGACAUAAAAUUUGGGAAUUAAUGCAUUGGCAUUUCCUACAUUGAUUUCCACGAAAACUCUCAGCAAUGAGGGUAUACUUGCUUUUUCUGUUAGACGUAUGGACUAUAUAAUAUUUAUAAUUUUUUAAACCAGGAUCUACAUAUGACUUGGCUGGGCCUCUAGUUCAAUCAACUUGUUUGGGUUUUUAUGUGCAACGCUUUGACUAGAUUAGGUCAUAUGAUUUUCUCCAUUAUUUUGGUAAAUUAAUACACUAAAUGAGAAUGGUUUUAACUCCAGUUGCACUGGAUAAUUUUUUAUUCCUUUAUAAAGUAAAAGUGUCCCUUUUUGCAGGUUUGUGUUUCUUCUGCGGAUCCAGCAGCAUUCCCAGGUGCUGUUGAAGCAGGGGCACUGAUGGUGAGGCCACAAGCUUGUUUACGGUUACAGUGUCAAAGGAUGACAGUGUCAUUCUUGAUGGGGCUGGUGAGAAGAAGGCCAUAGAAGAAAGAUGCACACUGCUGAGAUCUGCAAUUGAGUUGAGUACAUGACUACAUCAAAUAAUUGAAGGUCGAUGCAUUGGCUGGAUUGAGAUCUUCCAAAAUGCCACCGUCCGACACCUAGGCGUACUUGACGCCAUCCGAUCCAUUGCCGAUCGGGACCCUACCUAGCGCAAACUCUUCAUUCGCAGCCUUGGAUGGGACGCUACUAUCAAGAACCUCCGCAAUCUCUUCUCCACCUAUGGUGACCUCGAAGAAGCCAUCGCGAUCCUUGGCAAGGUCACUAGAAAAAGUAAAGGGUACAGGUUUAUUACGUUCAAGCACGUCAAUGGCGCUUUACUCGCGUUGAAAAAGCCAUGUAAGAAAAUUGACGGACGAAUAACCGGGACCCAGCUUGCGAUAUUGGGAAAUUCCGGAUCUAAUACGAAUCCGACUACAAUUGAUGUUUCUAUGCACAAGAUUUAUGUAGCCAAUGUGCCUAUUCUCAAGGUGGUCGUGAUCAAAAAUCGUGAAGGUCGUUCAAUUUUUGGCUGCAACACUUCUGAUUAUGACAAGGAAAAGUUGUAGGAGAGGCUUGCAAAACUUUUUGGUGGUGGUAUUGUUUUGAAGAAGUGCUGCAAAGUUAAAAGUGCAUCUAAUCAAGCUUCAAAGGACUUGGUGGUUUCCAAAAGUGGUGCAUUUGUAGUUGCUCCAUCCAGAGGCAAGACUUUGCGUGGCUUCGAAGAUGAGAAAUUUUGCUUUGUUGCUUUCAAACGAGGACAACGGCCAUAUGUAGUUGCAGCAAAGUUAUCAAUAGUUGGUGAGAAGAAAUUCUUACCAUGGCUACUAAUGACCCCAUCAUCAACCAGUUUUGGGAUGCUAUAUUGCAAGGCCAACAUGGCAGCUGCGGCUGGCAAGAAGGCUGCUAAUCGUAUCCCCAUCUUUUUGGCAACUUCCAGAGCCCAAGCAGCAGUUAUAUCAGCUACAACACAAGCAACUUUGCCAACUCCGGAUGCACUGAUCUCCUCUAUGAGCUCCUGCAGUUUCCUGGGCAUAUGCCGAAAGAUUGCUUCGAUCAACUUCCCUGGCUCAUUCCUGGUUUCCCCAUAUUCCAACCCGAGUGCAACAGAGACCAGGCGAAUCUGACCCGCUAAGUUAUUCCUCAUUCUCAUUGCAUCCCCAGCCUGCCUAUGAUUGAACUCGAUGUUUACAAAUGUAAUAUUGAAACCCUGCUUGGCUAAGCAUCUUGAGAGCUCCAUCAGGGGAAUUUCAUGGCCUUUUGCAGGAUGAGGCACCACUAUGACAUGAGGAUUGCCCAUUUCCAGUUCCUUCCUUUUACUCUGUCUGCAGGUUUUGGGCUGAUAGCUCUACUUGUAGAUUGUGCUAAUUGAUGUCAAGUUAAUCUCUAUUGAAGGGGGGCUUGGAAUUGUUGGAGUGUGGUUGCGGAUCUAGUUGUCUUUUCUUUAGUACUUAUGCUAGUGGUUGAUUAUGAUCU
Malania oleifera is the source of this 2633-nucleotide long non-coding RNA. RefSeq lists it as uncharacterized. Lineage: Eukaryota; Viridiplantae; Streptophyta; Magnoliopsida; Santalales; Ximeniaceae. The record is from RefSeq and is a predicted model, not a curated record. The transcript is spliced from 7 exons.